GUCCUUUAGAUUAUAAUUUAAGGUCUAACCUGCCCACUGAAAAUUUAAAUGGCCGCAGUAUUUUGACUGUGCAAAGGUAGCAUAAUCAUUAGUUUCUUAAUUAGAAGCUUGUAUGAAUGGUUGAACGAGAAACUUUCUGUCUCAAUUUAUAAUUUAAAAUUUUAUUUUUAAGUCAAAAAGCUUAAAUAAUUUUAAAAGACGAGAAGACCCUAUAGAGUUUUAUAAUUUAAAUAAUUUUUUUUUAAGAAUUAUAGGUAUUAUUAAAAUUAUUUUAUUGGGGUGAUAUAUAAAUUUAAUAAACUUUAUAUUAUUAUUAACAUUAAUUUAUGAGUGUAUGAUCCAUUUUUUAUGAUUAAAAGAAAAAAUUACCUUAGGGAUAACAGCGUAAUUUUUUUUUAGAGUUCUAAUCGAAAAAAAAGUUUGCGACCUCGAUGUUGGAUUAAAGUUAAUUUAUGGUGUAGUAGCUUUAAGAUUAGGUCUGUUCGACCUUUAAAACUUUACAUGAUCUGAGUUUAGACCGGCGUGAGCCAGGUUGGUUUCUAUCUUUAAAUAAUUAAAAUAUUUUAGUACGAAAGGACCAAAUAUUUUUAAUAUUUAAUUAAUUUUGAAUA
This 611-nucleotide ribosomal RNA is filed under the name Hydraena sp. IBE RA323. RNAcentral describes it as "partial 16S ribosomal RNA". It matches the Rfam family "Bacterial large subunit ribosomal RNA", at positions 1830 to 2766 of the family's 2925-position model. The record is from RNAcentral. Lineage: Eukaryota; Metazoa; Arthropoda; Insecta; Coleoptera; Hydraenidae.